Molecule: ribosomal RNA, 364 nt
Filed under: uncultured bacterium
Lineage: Bacteria
Description: partial 16S ribosomal RNA
Rfam family: Bacterial small subunit ribosomal RNA
Source: RNAcentral
CCUACGGGAGGCAGCAGUGAGGAAUAUUGGUCAAUGGACGCAAGUCUGAACCAGCCAUGCCGCGUGCAGGAAGACGGCCCUCUGAGUUGUAAACUGCUUUUGUACGAGGGUAAACGCAGAUCCGAGUAUCUGUCUGAAAGUACCUUACGAAUAAAGAUCGGCUAACUCCGUGCCAGCCGCGGCGGUAAUACGGAGGAUACAAUCGUUACCCGGAUUUAUUGGGUUUAAAGGGUGCGUAGGCGGUCGGAUAAGUUAGAGGUGAAAUCCCGAGGCUCAACUUCGGAAUUGCAUCUGAUACUGUUAGGCUAGAGAGUAGUUGAGGGAGGCGGAAUGUAUGGUGUAGCGGUGAAAUGCGUAGAGAUCA